UAAAGUGGAAAAUUUGUUUUUAUUUUGAAAUAAACCAUUUCAAACAUACAUCACAUAAUUUCAAAUAAAAAACCAUUUCAAUUGAUUCUUGGAUCUAACCUUAGGAAAUGAACACAAUAGCUGAACUCUUUAUUCUUCAUCAUAUUCUCUCAAACAAUGUUAUUACUUAUUUGAUUAACAUUCAGCUUAACAUGGAAAUUCACAUAACUUUGAUUUCAUAACUACUUCGCCACUACUUCAUUUGAUUUUGACAAAUAAGAUAAAUGCUCAAAUUUCUUUGGAGGAACCUAAAUAAUUCUUUGGGCUCAAAUUUUAGAGGGUUUUGCAAAUCAACCAAAGUACCAAACAUAGGUAUUAUCAAAAAAAAGAAGUACCAAACAUAGGAGUAUUUGACUAUUCCUUAUCUCUCAUUUUAGAAACUGAAAUAACUGUGUGUGGUUUUUCAUAUUAACACUAUACGUAUAUAUAAGUUGUAUAUGCUU
Molecule: long non-coding RNA, 482 nt
Filed under: Trifolium pratense (red clover)
Lineage: Eukaryota; Viridiplantae; Streptophyta; Magnoliopsida; Fabales; Fabaceae
Description: long non-coding RNA (TPRA_LNC001229)
Source: RNAcentral